GGAAUCACGAAGAGAGGGGAAGAAGUCUCCUGAGAGAAUGUCACUGAAAAGGUGACUUUCGAACGACCGCUGUACACAGUAAAAUUCACCAGCUGGAGAAGAGGAAGCAGGGCAGGUAAAAUGUACGAGAAGCAGAAGAGUCCUCGUGAGAAGGGUGGAGGCACGAGCAAGCUGAGUGUAUCUGGAGAACAGCAGGAAGAAUGACUAGAGUGAGGAGUGCGUGCAAAACAAAAGGCCGGCAAGGAUAUUUGGAGGUGCUUAAACCUAGUCUGUGAAUGCUGAGGAAAUGCUGACUCAGUAUGUUUCAUGAGUGAGUCGUUCAUCAUCACAUGUUUGGGCGAGGAAGAUUAGCCCUGAGCUAACUUCUGCUGCCAUCCUCCUGUUUUUGCUAAGGAAGACUGGCCCUGAGCUCACAUUCGUUCCCAUCUUCCUCUACUCUAUACGUGGGAUGCCUACCACAGGAUGGCUUGCCAAGGGGUGCCAUGUCUGCACCCGGGAUCCGAACCCGAGAACCCCAGGCCACCAACGUGGAAUGUGCACACUUAACUGCUGCACCACCGGGCCGCCCUGACAUCUCACUUCUUAAUGCUAGUUUUAGGAUAGAUAAGUCACAGAGCCUUACUCGGAGUUUGUUGCCUAAACAAAAAAACGUUCCGCUGUUUUCAAUAUUGCUUACCCAUACCCUCUAUGCUUUAUUCUCUUAGGCUCUCCUUUAACAGUGUUGCAGUUUUCGGUAAAUAGUUGAGUGAUGGAAGAGAUGAAGUCCUUAAACUCAUUGUCACUCCCUCUGCUGCGCUGCGUAAAACCCCUAAAUCCAUGACAUCCCUACGGAGCCCCAAACUUCCUAUGGCUAUGCCACACUUGGCUUUCAACAGAAAUAUGUAUAACACAAAGAAAAACAUGAAGCCUACCCAAGAUUUAUGAAGUCUUGAUUAAAGGAAGCUUUAGUACCCAUAUUUUUGAAUUUUUUCUUUGGGACCCUGGAGGUUUUCAAUAUCUCAAAGCAUUGCAAUACAGUAAAAUUAGAAUGAGAAAGAUUUUAUUCACUUAUUUACCUAUGUAUGUCUAUAUGUAUGUAUUUACGUGGGAAAAGGACAAAUGAGGAAUUGAAAAAAAUGAGGUGGAAAGGAGAACUGUCACGAUGCCUUCCAUCUAAAGCCGUCCUCAGACAGAUCAAGUUCAUAAAAGAACAUAUAUGCAAGGUGAGGGGCUGGAAAAUGACCCUUAAAACCAUAACUGGUUGUGUAUUCUUUGAAAAAUUGGUACGUACUCUCAAGGGUUCUUGUUGUCUUUUUGAAGAAUGCUGAUAUAGAAUUACAGAUGAGGAGGUCAACAGAAUGGUCCCCAGAGUCCAGGGUGGAGUGACGAAGGUGACCGAGGUAGCUCAUGGAGUCAGUAGUUGUGAAGCUGAGUGUGUUUAGAAGGGGACAGAGGCCUGGUCUAGGUCAGGAGUGAGUGGCAUUAGGGGGGCAUUGAUAGUAUUGAGUAACUUGAAAUUUGCCCUACGGUGGUAGAAUGCAGUAGAUUUACUGUCUGUGGGGAAAGAAGCAAGGUGCUUAUCUUUUGUCAGAAGGAGCUCCACAUGGGUCAAGGUGUGGUCGUUUGAUACAGUGAUUGAUUUUUGGGAUGACAGGAUGAGAAAUUUGAGGAUCAGGAAGAAGAUGGCAGGGAUAUUUCUGUCACUGAAGAUUGUAUUGUGAUUAAGGGGAUGAGAAAAGAAAACAUAUUUUUAUUAUAUCCUUAUUUGUUUCUAGCAGUAUUACAUAUACAGUAAAUACUUUGUUAAUUGGUUUCAUUAAUUAAUUGCUAUUUUAAAUUGUUAUAUUUAUAUUUGUUAAUUAUUAUUGAAAAAUACUUGUUAAUUGAUUGGCUAUAUUAGUUUAUAAGCAAUGUAAUUCAACUCUGUGUCUGUUAAAAUCAUAAGAAGGAAACUCCUAAAAAGGAAACAUGGAGAGUGACUCUUCUGUAUUCAUCACAUAUCAGAUAAAUGGUAGAUCAAACUAUAGUAACUUAUUAAAGAAAUUAGAAUUUGGGGAAUAUUUCCUUCUGAGAAAUUGUAAAGAAGUCAAAUAAUCUCUUUGUAGGCUAAGUUACUUCAAUUUCCAUAAUCAAGUCACUCAAUAGUGGACUUUUGAUAAUAGUUGUGAUAAUACACUGCAUGUGUUAAACAGUAUCUGAGAAACAUCUUUCCUAUUACUUCUGCAUCUCUCUAAAGGACAAGUAUUAUGUAAAAC
Long non-coding RNA from Equus caballus (horse), 2234 nucleotides. NCBI's taxonomy places the organism in Eukaryota, Metazoa, Chordata, Mammalia, Perissodactyla, Equidae. The record is from Ensembl.